GCAUUUUUCUUUUCUUCAACUUUGGUUAUUGUAAAAUUGGUCUUAAAUUUAAUUCCGUGUGGCAUCUAACUUGUUUGCUUUAUACUGUGCUUUGCUGCAGCAUACAGCUCAUUCACAAGUGGCGCCAGUCUGAUUUGGGGACUGGCUGCUUCUCACCCUUUCCUGCCGCCAGUGUAAAAUUUUCUUCCUGGAAGCCAGAGGGGCCACAACAGAAAACGUUCCACAUGGUACAUCCUUGCCCACAUGUUCCAUGAUGAUGUUGGGAAGAGGAUAAAUUGGAAAGGCAUCACUAUGCAACACUCUAUGCCAGAUGGCAUUGUAGACGUUGCUCCUGUAUGCUGUGAGAGAGUCAUCUCUCCCGCGCUGCCACAGAUGAUAUCCUAAAGCAGAAAAUAUGCUGUUUCAACCUGGCAGCAGAGAGAGAAAGAAGCUCAAGGUGUGCCUCUAUCAGCAUCCUUAUGGAAGAUCAGCCCACUGUUAAUUCACCUUAAAAAAAGUAUUUUGGUAUGUAGG
Molecule: long non-coding RNA, 513 nt
Organism: Micropterus dolomieu (smallmouth bass)
Lineage: Eukaryota; Metazoa; Chordata; Actinopteri; Centrarchiformes; Centrarchidae
Exons: 3
Source: RefSeq, a predicted model, not a curated record